Long non-coding RNA from Cygnus olor (mute swan), 2168 nucleotides. RefSeq lists it as uncharacterized. The record is from RefSeq and is a predicted model, not a curated record. The transcript is spliced from 3 exons. NCBI's taxonomy places the organism in Eukaryota, Metazoa, Chordata, Aves, Anseriformes, Anatidae.
GCUUAAGGAAGCCUCUUUGAAGGACCUCUUUUGAAAGACUGAGAUGGCUGAAACAUAAACCGAUCUUUCACUUAAAAUUGAACCUGCAAUCAAGAAAAUGCCAGGGUGAUAGUCUGACACCAAUUCUUAAAAAUAAUUUCUCUGGGGUUUUAUAAGUUUUCAGACCAGUAGAUCUGAUGUGGACACCUACCAGGAAGAUUUGUAUUAAAAACAAACAAACAAAAACCAAACCCCACUGUAACAGAAUAAAAAUACUGUGUGUGAUGUCAGGAAGGGGGCAAUGUGCCUUUUGUAAGAGGAAGAUCCGUAGACAUCUCUUAGGGAUACAGAAAGAGAGCGGACAAGAGGGAUUCAGUUUGUCCUCUUAGAUUUACGACUGAGAGUCAACAAGGUGUCUCACCAAAGGCUUGUAAAGAAACUAAUCAGUAUGAGAUAAAGCAGAAAGGCUCACAAAGGUACCAAAAAUGCAUUAAAGAGGAGUAAAUGCCCAGUUCUCUGAGAUGGAGGGGCAUCUGCACUUAUUCCUGAGUAAUGAGGUGACAAAGUCAGUUGGAAUUAACAUUAAUUCAGUGUCCAUCUAAUAAAAUGUAAUUCAGGAAUAAUUCAGUGGGCUUGAGCUCCUCUGCUGGGAAAGGAGUUGACUGCAACACGGAGCAACUGGUGUGGGAGGUCAUGGUAGCUACGUCCACUGAAAGAACAAGGGGGUGUGAAACGAAACUGGCAGGAGGCAAGUUUCGUGUAAAGGGUGGCUCUUUAUGCACUGUGUUACAACACUACGGGACCUUUUGCCACUGGAUAUUUCAGUUGCUGAAAUUCCUUUGGAUACCAGAAGUGAUUAUGCCAAUUCGUGCAAGAAUUUGACUUGGGAGGGAGCGAGGAAAGGGGAACUUAAGCCUUCGCUUGCCCACGUUAUGUUCUCCAGCAAGGAGCAAGUGGGGCGAUUUGGUAGGAACUGAGGAGUCUUUAUAUACCUCUGUAUGGCGGAGGCACCGAUGUUUUCCAGCAGGUGGGGGUCCCCAGAGAAAAUCUGUAGCAUUUUAUUUUAGAAAAUGGUGUCCUCUGUGUGUGUACGCAUCCAUGCACAUGUGCAACCGUAUAAUGCAGUGGAGGUCUAAAAGAACAAGGUGCCGUGUGCCUGUCUCCAUGGGCCUGGGGUUGGCCAGCGAGAGCAACUGCACAGGUGCACAGAUGCAGAAAAAGAGUGAAAAAAAAAAUCAAACUUCUGUUCAACUUCUUAAAUCCUUUGCUAGGUGGUCCACAAAAGCACCUGAUUUCAACCUGCAGGCUGAUUUCUGUUUUGAAGAUCUUCAGUUUUCUCCUCAGCUCUGUGCCUGCUGGACUAAAACCACCAAACCCAGGUGCUGGCUGGCCACUGCUCCUCGUGUUCAGAUGGUGUCUUUUCUGUUGUAGGAAGAGAUCGGUGGGCUAAUGAAUGCCUGGUGGAGCCGAGAUCUGCACGGUGCCAUGGAAAUGAGCACUGUGGAACUCAUCGUUUCAUAUUAAUCUCUUAAAAACGUAUUUAAAUAAUGUUUUCUAAUGGUAAAACUCAGAGAAGUCGUUUGUCACAUGGAGCUUCUUACUGUGUCUUCAGUCAAGAAAAUGAUGUGAAAAUACUUUCAGCCAUCCCCAUGAACAUUUGUCUCAGAUUAACUUUCCAUAAUUACCAAACAUAAUUUGAAUAAUUGUGUUUUUGUUUUUUUUCCACACUUAUGACUACAUUACAGGAAGCACUCCUUUUGACUACGUCACAGAAAGCACACCAGGACUGGAAGGUCUGCAGGGAAGCGGUGCCAUGGUCGGGAGCUCAGUCAUCCUCCAGCAUCAAGGUUUCACACCCAGGCACUAAAUGCCUGUUUUUGGCAGUAAACCACCCAGUCAUAAACCACCAGUGCCGAGGUGAUCUGGACUACCUGGAAGAUUUCCUUGCAACAAGAGCAAGAGAAGUUUUUGCCAAAAGAGAUGAAGAAACUCCAUAAAUAAUUUUUGCAGUUAUAGAGCAAGCAAGUAUAGCACUAGCAAACACAGAAUAAGUAAUGUGUUAGAGGUCAUAGCCCUAGGUAGCGUUGUAAAUUAUGAAAACACCUGUGAAACUGCUUCCAGUUUCAUAAGGCAUUUACUGUGUUCAGUAGAACACUGAAAGGACAAUGAAGCUACAUUUGAGGCUCUGU